This 494-nucleotide ribosomal RNA is filed under the name uncultured bacterium. RNAcentral's name for it is "partial 16S ribosomal RNA". It matches the Rfam family "Bacterial small subunit ribosomal RNA", at positions 28 to 507 of the family's 1533-position model. The record is from RNAcentral.
GACGAACGCUGGCGGCGUGCUUAACACAUGCAAGUCGAACGGUGAAGCGCCUUCCUUUUUGGUGGGUGUGGAUGAGUGGCGAACGGGUGAGUAACACGUGAGUAACCUGCCCCCUUCUUCUGGAUAACCGCAUGAAAGUGUGGCUAAUACGGGAUAUUCUGGGUCUGUCGCAUGAUGGGUCUGGGAAAGAUAUUGUUUCGGUGGGGGAUGGGCUCGCGGCCUAUCAGCUUGGUGGUGGGGUGAUGGCCUACCAAGGCGGUGACGGGUAGCCGGCCUGAGAGGAUCAGCGGUCCCACUGGGGCUGAGCGGCGGCCCCGCCUACUACGGGAGGCAGCGGUGGGGAUUAUUGCACAAUGGGCGCCAGGCUGAUGCAGCGCCGCCGCGUGGGGGAUGGAGGCCUUCGGGUUGUGAACCUCUUUCGCCAGUGAAGCAGGCCUGCCUAGUUUGUGGGUGGGUUGACGGUAGCUGGAUAAGAAGCGCCGGCUAACUACGUG